GACGAACGCUGGCGGCGUGCCUAAUACAUGCAAGUAGAACGCUGAAGGAGGAGCUUGCUUCUCUGGAUGAGUUGCGAACGGGUGAGUAACGCGUAGGUAACCUGCCUGGUAGCGGGGGAUAACUAUUGGAAACGAUAGCUAAUACCGCAUAAGAGUAGAUGUUGCAUGACAUUUGCUUAAAAGGUGCAAUUGCAUCACUACCAGAUGGACCUGCGUUGUAUUAGCUAGUUGGUGAGGUAACGGCUCACCAAGGCAACGAUACAUAGCCGACCUGAGAGGGUGAUCGGCCACACUGGGACUGAGACACGGCCCAGACUCCUACGGGAGGCAGCAGUAGGGAAUCUUCGGCAAUGGACGGAAGUCUGACCGAGCAACGCCGCGUGAGUGCAGAAGGUUUUCGGAUCGUAAAGCUCUGUUGUAAGAGAAGAACGAGUGUGAGAGUGGAAAGUUCACACUGUGACGGUAUCUUACCAGAAAGGGACGGCUAACUACGUG
RNAcentral lists this ribosomal RNA (495 nucleotides) under uncultured bacterium. RNAcentral's name for it is "partial 16S ribosomal RNA". It matches the Rfam family "Bacterial small subunit ribosomal RNA", at positions 28 to 507 of the family's 1533-position model. The record is from RNAcentral.